Molecule: ribosomal RNA, 446 nt
Filed under: uncultured bacterium
Lineage: Bacteria
Description: partial 16S ribosomal RNA
Rfam family: Bacterial small subunit ribosomal RNA
Source: RNAcentral
CCUACGGGAGGCUGCAGUAGGGAAUUUUCGGCAAUGGGGGGAACCCUGACCGAGCAACGCCGCGUGAACGAUGAAGUUAUUAGUAAUGUAAAGCUCUUUUAACAGGGAAGAAAGAGAAAUUUGACGGUACCUGAAGAAUAAGCUCCGGCAAACUACGUGCCAGCAGCCGCGGUAAUACGUAGGGAGCGAGCGUUAUCCGGAAUUGUUGGGCGUAAAGGUGGCGUAGAUGGCAUAGUAAGUCUGUUGUAAAAAUGCUGGGCUCAACCCAGUAGGGCAAGAGAUACUGCAAAGUUAGAGUAUGACAGAGGCAAGGGGAAUGAGAGGUGUAGCGGUAAAAUGCGUAAAUAUAUGUAAGAACCCCAGUGGCGAAGGCGGCUUGCUGGGUCGAUACUGACAUUGAGGCACGAAAGCGUGGGGAGCAAACAGGAUUAGAUACCCUAGUAGUC